This 136-nucleotide microRNA precursor is filed under the name Hordeum vulgare. RNAcentral describes it as "microRNA MIR1122". It matches the Rfam family "MIR1120/MIR1122 microRNA precursor family". Lineage: Eukaryota; Viridiplantae; Streptophyta; Magnoliopsida; Poales; Poaceae. The record is from RNAcentral.
UUUGUACUCCCUUCGUCCCAAAAUUCUUGUUUUAAAUUUGUCUAGAUAUAUAUGUAUCUAGUCACGUUUUAGUAUUUAGAUACAUCCAUUUCUAAACAAACUUAAGACAAGAAUUUUGAGACGGAGGGAGUAAUAA